Molecule: transfer RNA, 77 nt
Filed under: Ascocoryne sarcoides NRRL 50072
Lineage: Eukaryota; Fungi; Ascomycota; Leotiomycetes; Helotiales; Gelatinodiscaceae
Description: tRNA-Pro (CGG) (tRNA-Pro-CGG-2-1)
Rfam family: tRNA
About the family: Transfer RNA (tRNA) molecules are approximately 80 nucleotides in length.
Source: RNAcentral
GGGCGCUUGGUCUAGGGGUAGUAAGUAGUACUCGGAUUGACUAUGAAAGGUCGUGGGUUCAAUUCCCACAGUGUCCA